CCUACGGGAGGCAGCAGUGGGGAAUAUUGGUCAAUGGGCGCGAGCCUGAACCAGCCAAGUCGCGUGAGGGAAGACGGUCCUAUGGAUUGUAAACCUCUUUUGUCGGGGAGCAAAAGACGCCACGCGUGGCGUUCCGAGAGUACCCGAAGAAAAAGCAUCGGCUAACUCCGUGCCAGCCGCCGCGGUAAUACGGAGGAUGCGAGCGUGAUCCGGAUUUAAUGGGUUUAAAGGGUGCGCAGGCGGAAGAUCAAGUCAGCGGUAAAAUUGAGAGGCUCAACCUCUUCGAGCCGUUGAAACUGGUUUUCUUGAGUGAGUGAGAAGUAUGCGGAAUGCGUGGUGUAGCGGUGAAAUGCAUAGAUAUCACGCAGAACUCCGAUUGCGAAGGCAGCAUACCGGCGCUCAACUGACGCUCAUGCACGAAAGUGUGGGUAUCGAACAGGAUUAGAUACCCCGGUAGUC
RNAcentral lists this ribosomal RNA (459 nucleotides) under uncultured bacterium. Its description in RNAcentral is "partial 16S ribosomal RNA". It matches the Rfam family "Bacterial small subunit ribosomal RNA", at positions 338 to 795 of the family's 1533-position model. The record is from RNAcentral.